CUUUGUCUGUUCCUAACUCCCUGCCUCCUGGCCUUGUGAUGUGGGCCUCUCAUCCUGAUAAGAAAGGUUACUGAUGCAUUGCUUCAGGACCAUGUUGUGUUGUUGAAGUAAUAGUUUAGCAUGGGGAAUGUACCUAGCAGGGAUAGGUGGUAGAUAAGGAAAGGGUUUGUCUAUUGGCUAAGGUUUCCGAUGCACGAGGGCAACAUGCUGUGCUAAAAGGUAUAUAAUCUUUGUAUAACCUGCAUUCGGGGUCCCCUUCUGACUAGCAGGGGGCACCACACUUGAACGUAAUAAACUUAAUAUCUUUGGGAACUUUGCAGUUGUGGACUUUGUUCGUGUGCCUCAGCCUAGACUCGAACUGCGCGUGACCUAUCAGGUAUAAUUCGCAACACAGCCCAGAGUGCUUCCC
This is a long non-coding RNA of Chelonia mydas (Green sea turtle), 409 nucleotides long. RefSeq lists it as uncharacterized. The record is from RefSeq and is a predicted model, not a curated record. Lineage: Eukaryota; Metazoa; Chordata; Testudines; Cheloniidae. The transcript is spliced from 3 exons.